RNAcentral lists this ribosomal RNA (856 nucleotides) under uncultured bacterium. RNAcentral's name for it is "SSU rRNA". It matches the Rfam family "Bacterial small subunit ribosomal RNA", at positions 524 to 1381 of the family's 1533-position model. The record is from RNAcentral.
UACGUAGGGUGCGGGCGUUAAUCGGAAUUACUGGGCGUAAAGCGUGCGCAGGCGGUUUGUUAAGACAGGUGUGAAAUCCCCGGGCUUAACCUGGGAAUUGCGCUUGUAACUGGCAGGCUAGAGUGUGGCAGAGGGGGGUGGAAUUCCACGUGUAGCAGUGAAAUGCGUAGAUAUGUGGAGGAAUACCGAUGGCGAAGGCAGCCCCCUGGGCUAACACUGACGCUCAUGCACGAAAGCGUGGGGAGCAAACAGGAUUAGAUACCCUGGUAGUCCACGCCCUAAACUAUGUCAACUGGUUGUCGGGAAAGAAAUUUCUUGGUAACGAAGCUAACGCGUGAAGUUGACCGCCUGGGGAGUACGGCCGCAAGGUUAAAACUCAAAGGAAUUGACGGGGACCCGCACAAGCGGUGGAUUAUGUGGAUUAAUUCGAUGCAACGCGAAAAACCUUACCUACCCUUGACAUGUACGGAAUCCCGCAGAGAUGUGGGAGUGCCCGAAAGGGAGCCGUAACACAGGUGCUGCAUGGCUGUCGUCAGCUCGUGUCGUGAGAUGUUGGGUUAAGUCCCGCAACGAGCGCAACCCUUGCCAUUAGUUGCUACAUUCAGUUGAGCACUCUAAUGGGACUGCCGGUGACAAACCGGAGGAAGGUGGGGAUGACGUCAAGUCCUCAUGGCCCUUAUGGGUAGGGCUUCACACGUAAUACAAUGGUCGGUACAGAGGGUUGCCAACCCGCGAGGGGGAGCUAAUCCCAGAAAGCCGAUCGUAGUCCGGAUUGUAGUCUGCAACUCGACUGCAUGAAGCCGGAAUCGCUAGUAAUCGCGGAUCAGCAUGUCGCGGUGAAUACGUUCCCGGGUCU